AGGUGAUGUCCAUGUGGGAUUUCUAGGGUAAGGAUGAAGAACUUGUCCUGGUUACAGUCCUCUGAAGUCCUGGAAGGCUUCUAGGCAUUGUCAGAAUUGGUUUUUCCUACCUCACAGAUCUCUUCUGUGGAUCUAGUCAAUGUCAAAUGGUUGUGGAUGAUCCACAAUGUCUUCUGCCCAGGUUCUCUCUAGUUUGGGCAGCUGGACUUUGUCGUGUUUUGAAAGAUCUUUGCACGAGAGAUGCCAAACGUGCUGUUUGCCCUUUUCGUGCUUUCCACCACCUGAUCCUUGUCUUGUUAGGCCUCUUGGCUGAAGCAGAAGCUUUGAGAGUGGAAGGGGGUGAAGAAGCAGCCUGUGCCAUUUCUCAUGUAUUUUUUUUACUUAACACAGACUGAUUCUGAAGGUGAAGGGAAAAUGUCAGCUGCUGUCCAGCUUCCCACUGCAAACAGCAACAGGCUGUAUGUUGGCUCUGCUGCCGUGGAAUGUGUCUGCUGCAGUGGAAUGUGGCAAAGGUAAUUUCAGAGGGACUACAAGGUUAUCUUUGUGAGCCCCUCUGGAGUAAAUCAGAUGCAGAAAAGCAGAGGAAAAGAAACACUCAUAACUGUAUUUUGCUCAUCUUUUCUUAGGGGUCUUGAAACAAGCAUAUAGAGAAGGGAUGAAGGAAGAUGGAGUCAUGCAGUCAGCAGGGGGAACAGCAAAAGACGAAGACAACGAUUCUCCCUGGGAUCCUGAGACUGAUUCUGAAGGUAAGGGGAAGGCAUCGGCCAAUGUACAACUUCCUGCUGCACCGCAAAACAGAGUGGGCGUGAGCUCUGCUGCAGUGGAGCACAUCAAAGCUGCAAGAGUAGAACAGAAGGAACAUUUCAUCUCCUCUUCUGAGAAUAAGCUUCCUGCAUUACACGGAGACGAUCUUCGGCUAAAGGUUGAUUCUUCAACUCAAACAGCUUCUGAACAGUACAAACAGCUUCCUGCAUUACACGAAGACGAUCUUCGGCUAAAGGUUGAUUCUUCAACUCAAACAGCUUCUGAACAGGACAAACAGCUUCCUGCAUUACACGGAGACGAUCUUCAGCUAAAGGUUGAUUCUUCAACUCAAACAGCUUCUGAACAGUACAAACAGCUCAAGUACCUGAAAGAACCUUUUCACAAGAAUGAUUAUUAUGCUGAGUCAGUAAAGAAUGUCCUAAAGGAGAAGAAGGUACUAACAGUUCUGAGGAACUUGCAAAGCUGCCUGGCUGAUUGUUUGGAUUCUUCAGCUGCAGCUAUCCCCCAGCUGGAAGAGCGCAUUCGACGGCUCCAAAUUCAAAGGGCAAGGCUGGAAGCCACAAUCCAGCAACAAGCCAAGACAAUUGAAGCUUUAGAGAAAAUCCAGCAAGUCUCUUACCGCAGUAAGCUACUCAGAGCUUUCCCUGUUCGUGAUCCGCAGAGCCUAGUUCAUGUGAGAAAAUUUUUUAAAUUUCAGGUUUUCCUAGAGACAGUCUUGGAGAGAUCAGACCAUGUAACUAGAUAGCCUGAAAGACCCAACCAUAUUCUAGAAGAAUGGGUGUGGAGGUACAUGUUGGAAGGAAGAUAUAUAGUAGGUGGUUUGGGAAGUCUGUACAUUCCUAGUACCUCAGCCAAUGCGGAAAGGAGGAGGGCAACAUGAAGUUGGGAGUUUAGGAUCAAAGGAGGCUGGAUCCUCCAAACACUUGAGAGACCCCGCAGGGUUAUGGCCCACUAGACUCUCCCUAUAUUCAAAUAAAGUUGAUUUUUGCAGGACUCCUCUGUGGACACCGGUCUUCGACACUGUGAUUUUCCACACACUAUCAAAAACUGCUUUGGAGAGAAGUUUGCAAAGUGAGCAAAUCCCUGAGGCUGGGUGCCCUGCGGGUGUUUCCACCAUUUUGGGUGUCUGUUCCUAUAAGCUUUGUAAUAGUUAGCAAUUUUGUUCUAGUGAUUACUAUCUAGUGAUUAGUUACUAUUAUUUUGUUCCCAUAAGAUUUGUAAAAGUUAGCAAUUUUGUAUCUAGUGAUUACUAUCUAUGAUUAGUUACUGUUAGUCUGUUCCCAUGAGAUUUGUAAAAGUUAGCAAUUUUGUUCUGGUGAUUACUAUCUAGUGAUUAGUUACUAUUAUUUUGUUCCCAUGAGAUUUGUAAAAGUUACUAAUUUUAUAUCUAGUGAUUGCUAUCUAGUGAUUAGUUACUGUUAUUUUGUUCCCAUGAGAUUUGUAAAAGUUAGCAAUUUUGUAUCUAGUUGUUACUAUCUAGUGAUUGCUUCUGUUAUUUUUUUGCCUGUUGCUGUUUCACUUAUCAAUAAAUUGUUAUAUAUUCACUUAUAUCUACUUGUAUUUAUUUGUUCCUUAUUGGUGGACAAGGGACUGGAGGGAACUAAGGGGAGGUAAUUCAUUCUAAAGCAUCCAGCUCUUUAAACUGUUUUAAACCAAGACCUAUUUUUUAGAACUACCCUGGAAAGAUUAUUAUUGAUAUUGUUCUUGGUAAAUAGGCUUCCUGGAUGGCCAGAAGCUUUUGUCUGUCACACUAACAAAACUCAAGAAGUAACUGAAGUUUUGUUAAAGGAAAUUAUAUCCAGAUUUGGGCUACCACUGGGCCUGUCUUCAGCCAAUUUUAUUCUGUGGCUGAAACAACUCAAAGUUUAUGCAAAGUGCUUGGGAGUCACAUGGUAUCUCCACACUCCUUAGAAACCUCAGUCCAGUGGAAAAGUAGGAAGGAUAAAGCAAAACUUGAAAUGGCAAAUAAGUAAGAUUUGUCAAAAAACUUCACUAACAUGGCCUCAGGCUUUGUCUUUAGCCUUAUUAAACCUUAUUAGCCUAGAUUGAAAGAAAUAUUAAGUCCUUAUGAAAUUAUUUAAGGCAGGCUGUAUAAAACUAACUAACUCAGGAGAAAGCCAUGUGUUAGGAAACAGUAAUUUAAAAGAGUAUUUUUAUAUUUGGGAAAAGAGCAUUUUUAUCUUUGAGAAAAGAGCUCUCAGUUUUGCAUAGGCUUGUUGUUUAGCAUCCUCAACAGCCUUGGACAUUCAGGUACAUCUUCAUCAGCCCAGGGAUUAGGUAUAUGUCCACGUGUGGAAUGAUGAACCACUUUAGGAAAAGUGGAAAAGACCAUUCCAGGUUCUCCUGGCUACCCACAUGGCUGUGAAAGCUGUUGGCUGAGGCUCCUGGAUUCACUACACCUGGACAAACCCAGCUCCAAACCAGGAAACACUUCACUGGACUGUUCAGCAGACAGCAAAACCUUUACAGAUACGAUUGAAAAGAAAUGUUAAUAAAUUGUACUUAAA
Molecule: long non-coding RNA, 3272 nt
Organism: Ficedula albicollis (Collared flycatcher)
Lineage: Eukaryota; Metazoa; Chordata; Aves; Passeriformes; Muscicapidae
Source: Ensembl